This 524-nucleotide long non-coding RNA is filed under the name Ananas comosus (pineapple). RNAcentral describes it as "long non-coding RNA (ACOM_LNC024804)". The record is from RNAcentral. Lineage: Eukaryota; Viridiplantae; Streptophyta; Magnoliopsida; Poales; Bromeliaceae.
UAAUUAAUUGUAUAUUUUUUGCAAUAUUAAAUAACAUGGCUAAUUAAUAUUACCGUGCGAACCAAACACAGAAAUUCCACAUUCUUAGUAAUAGAAUGAAUAGGAAUAAAAUUCUCGGAUAUCUUUUAUUCCUAGUAAUCUUUCAUAAUGCGAACCAAACGCACCCUAGGGUGCGUUUGGUUCGUGCUAUCUUUUAAAAAUUUCUAAUAAUCCAAUGGGAAUAAAAAAAUAUGACGGUGUUUGGCUAACGCACUAAGUAAUCUAGUUGGUAAUAUUGGAUUCACUUAGGAAUAUGAUUCACCCUAAAUACUAAUCUCAUUCCCUUGAGGAAGGGUGGAUAUCCUCAUAUUAAUGGAUUGGGGUAAUCAUAAUAUGUCUAAUAUCUUUCUUUCUUCCUACCCGCCGGCUAAUUGAUAUUAUUUUUCUUUACAUUCUAACCUUAUAUCUCUCUCUAAACUUAUUUUUCUCUCUAAAAUUCAACUUUUUUUUCUCUCUCUAAACUAAGCUUUCUCUCUCUCUCUCUC